CACCGCGGUUAUACGAAAGACCCUAGUUUAUAGAUACGGCGUAAAGGGUGGUUAAGGAGUAUAUAAAAUAAGGCCGAAGACCUCCUAAGCCGUCAUACGCUCUACGAAGGCACGAAGCCCAAACACGAAGGUAGCCUUAAUAAACUUCACCUGACCCCACGAAAGUUGGGAAA
RNAcentral lists this ribosomal RNA (173 nucleotides) under Hypoptopomatinae sp. NS 1566_B. Its description in RNAcentral is "partial small subunit ribosomal RNA". RNAcentral also lists the same sequence under 3 other names. Lineage: Eukaryota; Metazoa; Chordata; Actinopteri; Siluriformes; Loricariidae. The record is from RNAcentral.